This 308-nucleotide long non-coding RNA is filed under the name Theobroma cacao (cacao). Its description in RNAcentral is "long non-coding RNA (TCAC_LNC003442)". Lineage: Eukaryota; Viridiplantae; Streptophyta; Magnoliopsida; Malvales; Malvaceae. The record is from RNAcentral.
UUACAAGGAGCUCAGCGUACAGAAGCUCGUUCCACGAAUCCGGCACACCAGGAAGGCACCAAUGGCUGCAGUCCUGGUAUUUUAGAGGAGCUAUUCUUUCCUCCUCUGACAUUUGUUGCUUCUGGUGCUUCCGGUAGAUUGAUGGGUGACCAUCCUUUCGGAAAUCAGUCAAUCUGGUAAUAUUAAGGUAGGUGACAUGUGUUUUCAUCCCCUUCAGCACUGACUCCAAGACCAACAUCUUUGAUGGAUAUGGCGUUAGAUACGUCUCAUUCCUGAUCGGCUCAGUUUCACUAUCACAUGCUCCUCCA